RNAcentral lists this ribosomal RNA (497 nucleotides) under uncultured bacterium. RNAcentral's name for it is "partial 16S ribosomal RNA". It matches the Rfam family "Bacterial small subunit ribosomal RNA", at positions 28 to 507 of the family's 1533-position model. The record is from RNAcentral.
GAUGAACGCUGGCGGCGUGCCUAAUACAUGCAAGUCGAGCGAACAGACGAGGAGUUUGCUCCUCUGACGUUAGCGGCGGACGGGUGAGUAACACGUGGAUAACCUACCUAUAAGACUGGGAUAACUUCGGGAAACCGGAGCUAAUAGCGGAUAAUAUAUUGAUCCGUAUGGUUCAAUAGUGAAAGACGGUUUUGCUGUCACUUAUAGAUGGAUCCGCGCCGCAUUAGCUAGUUGGUAAGGUAACGGCUUACCAAGGAGACGAUGCGUAGCAGACCUGAGAGGGUGAUCGGCCACACUGGAACUGAGACACGGUCCAGACUCCUACGGGAGGCAGCAGUAGGGAAUCUUCCGCAAUGGGCGAAAGCCUGACGGAGCAACGCCGCGUGAGUGAUGAAGGUCUUCGGAUCGUAAAACUCUGUUAUUAGGGAAGAACAAAUGUGUAAGUAACUAUGCACGUCUUGACGGUACCUAAUCAGAAAGCCACGGCUAACUACGUG